RNAcentral lists this ribosomal RNA (1031 nucleotides) under Keissleriella sp. KT 895. RNAcentral's name for it is "SSU rRNA". It matches the Rfam family "Eukaryotic small subunit ribosomal RNA", at positions 68 to 1107 of the family's 1831-position model. Lineage: Eukaryota; Fungi; Ascomycota; Dothideomycetes; Pleosporales; Lentitheciaceae. The record is from RNAcentral.
AGCAUUAUACCGUGAAACUGCGAAUGGCUCAUUAAAUCAGUUAUCGUUUAUUUGAUAGUACCUUACUACUUGGAUAACCGUGGUAAUUCUAGAGCUAAUACAUGCUGAAAACCCCGACUUCGGAAGGGGUGUAUUUAUUAGAUAAAAAACCAAUGCCCUUCGGGGCUCCUUGGUGAUUCAUAAUAACUUCUCAGAUCGCAUGGCCUUGCGCCGGCGACGGUUCAUUCAAAUUUCUGCCCUAUCAACUUUCGAUGGUAAGGUAUUGGCUUACCAUGGUUUCAACGGGUAACGGGGAAUUAGGGUUCGAUUCCGGAGAGGGAGCCUGAGAAACGGCUACCACAUCCAAGGAAGGCAGCAGGCGCGCAAAUUACCCAAUCGCAAUUCAUAGCGGAGGUAGCGACAAGAAAUACUGAUACAGGGCUCUUUUGGGUCUUGUAAUUGGAAUGAGUACAAUUUAAACCUCUUAACGAGGAACAAUUGGAGGGCAAGUCUGGUGCCAGCAGCCGCGGUAAUUCCAGCUCCAAUAGCGUAUAUUAAAGUUGUUGCAGUUAAAAAGCUCGUAGUUGAACUUUUGGCCUGGCUGGCAGGUCCGCCUCACCGCGUGCACUUGUCCGGCCGGGCCUUUUCUUCUGGAGAACCGCAUGCCCUUCACUGGGUGUGUUGGGGACCAGGACUUUUACUUUGAAAAAAUUAGAGUGUUCAAAGCAGGCCUUUGCUCGAAUACGUUAGCAUGGAAUAAUAGAAUAGGACGUGCGGUCCUAUUUUGUUGGUUUCUAGGACCGCCGUAAUGAUUAAUAGGGACAGUCGGGGGCAUUAGUAUUCAGUAGUCAGAGGUGAAAUUCUUGGAUUUACUGAAGACUAACUACUGCGAAAGCAUUUGCCAAGGAUGUUUUCAUUAAUCAGUGAACGAAAGUUAGGGGAUCGAAGACGAUCAGAUACCGUCGUAGUCUUAACCAUAAACUAUGCCGACUAGGGAUCGGGCGGUGUUAUUAUUUUGACUCGCUCGGCACCUUACGAGAAAUCAAAGUGUU